RNAcentral lists this ribosomal RNA (581 nucleotides) under uncultured fungus. Its description in RNAcentral is "eukaryotic LSU rRNA". The stretch from base 227 to 377 matches the Rfam family "5.8S ribosomal RNA". The record is from RNAcentral. Lineage: Eukaryota; Fungi.
UCUUGGUCAUUUAGAGGAAGUAAAAUCGUAACAAGGUCUCCGUAGGUGAACCUGCGGAGGGAUCAUUACAGAGACAUCGCCCUUACCGGGGUGACUCUCCAACCCUAUGUUAUUAAAUCUUUGUGCUUUGGCGAGCCGCCUCGGCCACCGGCCUCCGCUGGUGAGUGCUCGCAGAGGACCCCAAACUCUGUUUAUUAGUGUCGUCUGAGUACUAUAAUAAUGUUAAAACUUUCAACAACGGAUCUCUUGGUUCUGGCAUCGAUGAAGAACCAGCGAAAUGCGAUAAGUAAUGUGAAUUGCAGAAUUCAGUGAAUCAUCGAUCUUUGAACGCACAUUGCGCCCUGUGGUAUUCCGCAGGGCAUGCCUGUCGAGCGUCAGUACAACACUCAAGCUCUGCUUGGUAUUGGGCCCUGCCGGAGCGGCAGGCCUUAAAAUCAGUGGCGGCGCCAUCUGGCUCUAAGCGUAGAAUACUCCUCGCUACAGAGUUCCGGUGGAUGCUUGCCAGCAACCCCCAAUUUCUAAGUUUGACCUCGGAUCAGGUAGGGAUACCCGCUGAACUUAAGCUAUCAAUAAGCGGAGGA